UGCAUGAGGCUAAGGGAGUGCCAUAUCGGGCUAGGUAAGACCGAGGAGCACAGAAGGGACCAGGAAGGGGCAGGUCGGGGCCAGGUCUCGGGGCAGGUGAGCGGGCAAGCGGAGUCGCGGGCAGGAGAGGGCCGGGCAACAGUGUGGUGCGCGCGGUCGCGGAGGGUAGAGCGAGGGACGUGAACGAGGCGCCAAAGGCAAAGACAGCUUUUGUGUUGUGGAGAAGAGCGUAGCUUGCGGUGAGAGCGUCAAGACAUGCGGCUCUGUAGGGGAGGGCAGCACAGAGUGAGCUACAUGCUGCCGUGUUGUCUCAUUGGUUCUCCCUCGACCUUUCUCUCUACUGGUUCUCCCUCGCCCUACGGUUGAACACCUCCCUGUCACCCUCCCUUGAGUACGAGCAGCGGCACCAUGAAGAUCGCUUGCGUUCCCAUGGCCGCCGUGGCAGCCAACGGACGCAUUCCUCGGUUCUGGAACCUUUCCUCAUAUGGCUCCUGGGUAAGUGAGGGGAUGGCGAAGAUGCUUAGGAAAGAAGAAUUUUAAUGUCUGCAAGUAUAACAUUGUCAUUUUUAGAUUUGGAAUUGUUACUCUUUUGCAUAUACAUGGUCUACAGGAAGCUUCUUAUGCACUCGUCUUCAUUUUUUUAGCAGGCUUAAGAAGUAAACCCAAGUAGUAUUGCAUAACUUGUAUUCAACUUAUGCAGGUAAAUUACUUGUGGUUGCAAUCAGGGUUACAUGGUUUUCAUCAAAGAAUCGCCGAUCUCUCCUUAGUGCAGUAACCAUUAUCAGU
This is a long non-coding RNA of Penaeus monodon (black tiger shrimp), 786 nucleotides long. RefSeq lists it as uncharacterized. Lineage: Eukaryota; Metazoa; Arthropoda; Malacostraca; Decapoda; Penaeidae. The record is from RefSeq and is a predicted model, not a curated record. The transcript is spliced from 2 exons.